Molecule: long non-coding RNA, 1098 nt
Filed under: Callithrix jacchus (white-tufted-ear marmoset)
Lineage: Eukaryota; Metazoa; Chordata; Mammalia; Primates; Cebidae
Description: lncRNA (ENSCJAG00000078891.1)
Source: RNAcentral
GAGAGAAAAGUGCAUCUAACAACUUGCCCUAAAUAACUGAAAACAUUUUUGUGCAGCACUUUUCUAAGCAUUUAGCAUUUUGAAGUUCAGAACAAAAGAAUCAAAGAGAAAAAGCUCUCAUGUACCAUGCAUUUCCCAACCAUCCGUAAGUGGAUCAAAAUUCCAACCCAGAUUUCUCUGAGCAUCAUGUGAAACAUAAUGUGUUUGGGUGUUUAAUGCUAACAAUAAAAUUGCACCACGGUGACAACCCACAUAGUCACUAAGUCAGUUGGAAAUAGAACAUAUUUGGAGAUAAUCCUAGUUUGGAAUUUGGCCAUCAGGCCACUUGGCUGCCUGACAGUGUGUCCUUUAGUGACCUUGGGCAAGCCAGCACUUUCUGUCUCCCUUUCCCUUUUCUAGCUUAACAUUGAGAAAAUUACUUUUCCCCUUCAGAAAGCUCAUGUGAGAAGUUGUAACCGAAGCAUUUAUGAAGCAUUUUGUAUCUCUUUCAUACAGGGGGCCUGAAGUUCAAAGCAGCUCUAUAUAUGCCCAGACAGGGACCCAUAAUUGCACUUGGUCUACACCAAGGGAUGAUUCUACCAUGUGUUACUGUUGAGAAAUGAAGGACUUGUAUUAAAAAUGCAUAAUUUAAUCAAGAGAAAACCACUAAUCAGUAGGAAAUAUGCAACCUUGAUGUUAUGGGACUUUUUAAUGUUCGUGUUAUUAGAGCUGCCGCAAUUUCUCAUGGAUCUAUUGAAAUGAAAAUUAAUGUAAAGGAGAGGUUUUAAAAGAUAAAAUGAGCUCAAACAUAAGGUCCUCAGGAGACUUUGGCACUCCUCUAGGGCAAAUACAGAAAAGCAAAGGCAACAUGACAGCAGUCAGGGCUGUCACUGUUCCUGCUCCCUGCUGAAAAGUACAAAUUUGCAAGUUUUGAAAGCCGAAAAGUCCAGUAUCAAGGCACCAGAAGAUUCAGUGUCUAUGAGGGCUGCUCUCUGCUUCCAAGAUGGUCCCUUGUUGCUGAGUCACCGGCUGGUAGAACGGGUGUCCAGCAGUGUUCUAGACCCUGGAAAUUUAGAGAUGAGUAAGACAGACCCAGCCUCAUUCUAUCCUCUGGGAUAA